Molecule: transfer RNA, 74 nt
Filed under: Candidatus Abyssobacteria bacterium SURF_5
Lineage: Bacteria; Pseudomonadati; Candidatus Hydrogenedentota; Candidatus Abyssobacteria
Also listed under: 2 other names
Description: Candidatus Abyssubacteria bacterium SURF_5 tRNA-Arg
Rfam family: tRNA
About the family: Transfer RNA (tRNA) molecules are approximately 80 nucleotides in length. Their secondary structure includes four short double-helical elements and three loops (D, anti-codon, and T loops). Further hydrogen bonds mediate the characteristic L-shaped molecular structure. tRNAs have two regions of fundamental functional importance: the anti-codon, which is responsible for specific mRNA codon recognition, and the 3' end, to which the tRNAs corresponding amino acid is attached (by aminoacyl-tRNA synthetases). tRNAs cope with the degeneracy of the genetic code in two manners: having more than one tRNA (with a specific anti-codon) for a particular amino acid; and 'wobble' base-pairing, i.e. permitting non-standard base-pairing at the 3rd anti-codon position.
Source: RNAcentral
GCGCCAGUAGCUCAAUCGGAUAGAGCAACGGCCUUCUAAGCCGUAGGUUGAGGGUUCGAUUCCCCCCUGGCGCG